RNAcentral lists this ribosomal RNA (196 nucleotides) under Staphylococcus epidermidis. RNAcentral describes it as "partial 16S ribosomal RNA". It matches the Rfam family "Bacterial small subunit ribosomal RNA", at positions 1 to 190 of the family's 1533-position model. Lineage: Bacteria; Bacillati; Bacillota; Bacilli; Caryophanales; Staphylococcaceae. The record is from RNAcentral.
UUUUAUGGAGAGUUUGAUCCUGGCUCAGGAUGAACGCUGGCGGCGUGCCUAAUACAUGCAAGUCGAGCGAACAGACGAGGAGCUUGCUCCUCUGACGUUAGCGGCGGACGGGUGAGUAACACGUGGAUAACCUACCUAUAAAACUGGGAUAACUUCGGGAAACCGGCGAUAAUAACGGAUCAUAUAUUGAACCGCA